Chenopodium quinoa (quinoa) is the source of this 1336-nucleotide long non-coding RNA. RefSeq lists it as uncharacterized. The transcript is spliced from 5 exons. Lineage: Eukaryota; Viridiplantae; Streptophyta; Magnoliopsida; Caryophyllales; Amaranthaceae. The record is from RefSeq and is a predicted model, not a curated record.
UCGUCCCUUCCCUUUCCUUUUCUUCCCUAAUUCGCACACGUAAACUAUGGCGGUGGUUGGUCCUUCAAAGCUUGAUGAAGAAGCUUUGAUCAUUUCAUCAUAAUACCCAACUUCAAACUUCCUUAACAAUUCUUAAAAAUGCCCAAAUUUUCUUGUGAUGUCAGAUGGCUUCUUCUUGUUGCUGGCUUGCUGCUGUCGCAUUUAUCUACAUACAGGUGGAGGCCGAAAAUUAUUGUACAGGACAAACACGGUUAUAUACUGAUCAAAUAAGCAUGCAACAAGGACAGUUUGCGGCAUUAAAAGGGUAAACCGAGCUUCCAUCUUUUUGGGAUUUUGCUGUGUGCUGCUGUAACAGCUGUCGGAGCUCUUAAGUCAGUUGUUCAGGGAAUUUUGCUGUCUUCUGAAGGGUCCUUGUGAAUGUGGUUCAUGUUGGAGUCGGCCCUAUUUCACAAUCUGAUCUGGACUUAGCUAAAGCUUGUGGAGCUUGUAUUAUCGGGUUCAAUAUUUGUAGCCCACAUGAUUCCAUCAAUCAAGAACCUGAAAGAGCCAAGAUAAAGAUAGUACUGCAUCACGUGAUCUACCACCUCCUGAACGACAUUGGUGCUUGAUACGGGUGGCUGGGGAAGCACAAGUGCUUGAUAUUUUUGAGAUCGCUGGUAGAAGCAAGGCUAUAGGGGCUGAUGUUAAGAUUGCGGGCUGUAAGGUGAUAACUGGUCACAUAGCUAAGUCUUCAACUAUGAGGCUUUUAAGAAGUGGGGAAGAUGUUUCUGAGGGUUGUUGUGCAUCUCUCAAGCACAAGCAGCAAGAUGUGGAGACGGUUAUCAAGGGAAAAGAAUGUGGUGUUGUCAUUCAAGGUUGUUUUGAUUUUCAGAUCGGUGAUUUGGUCCAAAGCUUGGAGUAAAUCAGACAGAAGCCCAAGUUCAUAUCAUCAGAUAAUGGUGUGUUCGAAAUUUCGAAUUGAGUGCUGAUGUUUAAAGAUAGCUAAAUGGAGAAGAGAAAAGAUUACUUUAACCUGGAUACAAAAGGGAGCUUAAUUUCUUUAUACCUAGAAUAAAUUAGAUUGUUACCCGGGAAUUUUUUGCCCACUUAUAGUUUCUGUUUAUUUAUUUGGCAUAUAUACAUCAAAGUUUGAUGUAAAAGGGGUGAUUAGGAAUUUUGACAUCAAUAGUUUGGAGAAUGUUACUUAAAUUGUAUAUAGAAGAACGCCCUAUGUCUUGUAAAUCUAAAUAUUUGAUUUUUAGCCACGAACUAAUUAGUUAUCAAAGUGCAUCAGUGCCUGUGGAAUUUUAACAUCAAUAGUUUGGAAAAUUUAUGUUAGUGUAAUUAGUUUAAUCUU